This is a long non-coding RNA of Lytechinus variegatus (green sea urchin), 312 nucleotides long. RefSeq lists it as uncharacterized. The record is from RefSeq and is a predicted model, not a curated record. NCBI's taxonomy places the organism in Eukaryota, Metazoa, Echinodermata, Echinoidea, Temnopleuroida, Toxopneustidae. The transcript has 2 exons.
AGUUGCACGACGCGUAUAUGAUAAACAACGUGCUACGCAGUAGUAAGCGCACUUUCUCAGUUGCUAUGCCAAAAAGCAAGAAGCGCAUGCUUGAGUCCCAGAUCAGAUCGCAAGGUGUGCUGUGGCCUUUAAGUGGCUUUGAAAUGAUUGUAUGUAGCACCCUAGGUAGUUUUUAAAAGCAGAAGGCUAAUUUAAACAAUUAUAGGUAUUGGUUUCACAGGGGCAUUUCAUACUCUGGUGCAUUCAACUGUAUGAAGAGCUGUUUGAUAUUAUGGACUAUUUCAUUAAUCAAUUUCCAAUUGUUUGAAAUCA